This is a long non-coding RNA of Megalobrama amblycephala (Wuchang bream), 1319 nucleotides long. RefSeq lists it as uncharacterized. Lineage: Eukaryota; Metazoa; Chordata; Actinopteri; Cypriniformes; Xenocyprididae. The transcript has 6 exons. The record is from RefSeq and is a predicted model, not a curated record.
UAAAGUUUUCAAUUAGCAAUAAUCGCGCCUCGGAUAAACCUCAUAGGCUACGAUACUGCCACUGCGCAAAGCUGACGUACCUACUGCCAGAGAGGAGACGUCACCAAACAACCCAGCAGUUCCCUCGACGACCCUGCUGUUACCAAAGCCAGAGUGUGUUUUCUUAGGAUAACUUUUUCAUUGAUAUCUCUCAGGAUCCACAAGGGUCAGCGUCUCCCCAGCGGCGAGCUUGACAUACAUCUGACUGCUGUUAUGCUCAGUGAACCAUAGUAUAUUAUUAAAUAGAGACUUGGAAGAUGUCCUGGGAAGUCCUACCUUCAAAAACAUCCACCAUGUUGAAGAAGGCCAGAGACAGCGAAGACUUUCCACUGCCCGUUCUACCACAGAUGCCCACCUGCGACAGGUCUUCCAGUGCUCAUAGAGUUCCACAUCAUGAGUCUGGAUAUCCUUUAACGUUCCCUCUCUCAGCACUGAACCGUCCUUCAUGGCUAUUAUCUACCACACAGAGAAAAGCAUCAUGAAGAACCAGCCUCGAAAUGUUCAAGAUCAUCAGUCAGCAAAGAAACCCAAAUAGUUACCCAGUCAGCAUGGAUAAGGUACUGCAGCUUAUGAGUGACCAAGACCACCGUCCGUUUGUCAUCCUGAAGGAACUUGAGUAUCCCUUCUUGCAUCAGAUGAUCACUGAGGUGGAUGUCCAGGGCAGAGAAUGGGUCAUCCUAUAGAGAACAGCUGAGGGCCACUGCACUGACCAGAGAGAGAAGCUUCUCUUCAAACACAUUUAUGAGAUCUCGGUUUGGCUAAGGAAUGACCAGCUCCCGUUUCAGCCCCAUAAACAUGACUGUGUGGAGUCUCAUGUUUGCUGUUAUUGGAGGUCAUAAGGUGUGUUAUUACAUCAAGUUUAUCUCAGUUUGAAUCAAUGUUUUUAUGUAUACUUUACAGACACAAAUACAAGAGCUUUGAAAAUAUUUGAUGCCACAAUUGACUUCAGUCGCUCUACUUAUAAAACCAUCCCUGGUUAUUUAACUAAGUGAGAAACUCAAGUGUUGAAAUUAUGUAAUGAAAUGUCAAAAAUUAUGUUAAAUUGUGUAGUUUGUUGAGGAGAACUGUACUAUUAUUUUUCUGAGCUAUCAAAUUUAGGAUUUUCAGCUGGCAGACAAUAAAAUGCAUUAAAAAUAUCCCUAUAUACUUAAAUUAAAAUAUUAAUCAGUCACACAGAAAUGCCCUAACAACUGCAACAUGCUAAAAGCCACUGAAAACACCCCUGCAUUUUCAUCAGAAAUGUUAAAAAAUGUAUUUUACAUUAAAAUACAUUUUUAAUA